UACAGAGGUCUCAACCGUUGUUCGGAUUCAUUGGGCGUAAAGGGUGCGUAGGCGGUCGUGCAAGUCGGAUGUGAAAUCUCAGGGCUCAACCCUGAAACUGCAUUCGAUACUGCGCGGCUAGAGUGCUGGAGGGGAGACUGGAAUUUACGGUGUAGCAGUGAAAUGCGUAGAUAUCGGGAGGAACACCAGUGGCGAAGGCGACUACCUGGCCUGUUCUUGACGCUGAGGCGCGAAAGCUAGGGGAGCAAACGGG
This 253-nucleotide ribosomal RNA is filed under the name uncultured bacterium. RNAcentral describes it as "partial 16S ribosomal RNA". It matches the Rfam family "Bacterial small subunit ribosomal RNA", at positions 524 to 776 of the family's 1533-position model. The record is from RNAcentral.